GCAUCCGUGCAGGUCAGAGCCCCACUGUUCGCACUCCCACCAGGUGCCUUCUAAGCACUUGGCCGCAGGUUCGAGUCCUGCCGGGGGCGCCA
RNAcentral lists this transfer RNA (92 nucleotides) under Streptomyces lydicus. RNAcentral describes it as "tRNA-Ser". The stretch from base 19 to 89 matches the Rfam family "tRNA". Rfam says of the family: Transfer RNA (tRNA) molecules are approximately 80 nucleotides in length. The record is from RNAcentral. Lineage: Bacteria; Bacillati; Actinomycetota; Actinomycetes; Kitasatosporales; Streptomycetaceae.